Long non-coding RNA from Micropterus salmoides (largemouth bass), 1319 nucleotides. RefSeq lists it as uncharacterized. Lineage: Eukaryota; Metazoa; Chordata; Actinopteri; Centrarchiformes; Centrarchidae. The record is from RefSeq and is a predicted model, not a curated record. The transcript is spliced from 5 exons.
GUCCUGCCUGCAGUAGUUAAUUUAUAACAUCAGUGGUGGUAACCUGGCAGGCUGCAUCUGAUAUUUCCAAACUGCUGACAGUAAAAACCUCAGAUGACUUUGGGGAGAAUCAAACAGCAGAGCAGGGGACACUUUGGUCGGGUCCAGGAGAUCCCCAGUCACUCAACAUAUCCCUGGCAGUUCUCCCCUGCUGAGUCGAGUCCUGCUUUACCUUCCGGAGUCGACUACUGGUUUAAAGAAUCACCAUUUUAUCGUGGCUGCCACGGCCUGUGUUGUCCAGAGCUAUAUCUUCUCGUUGGGCCUCCUCCCAAGGCAAACUGGUCCCAGGGGAGGAGCCAGACUAAAAGCGACUCACAGACCAUGUUAAUCUGCUGAGACGGACCUGCGGCACUUCAGCCAGAAUAAAGAAACCGGGGCCCCCUCAUGGAGCCAGACUUGCCGUUGAGUGUCGGACACAUCGCCAAAAACAUACAUGGAGCCACAGCCCUGUGGGCCCCCCACCUGCAGGGAGAGGCAUUGGGAUCGGGUUUAUUGACAGCAGGGCGGAAGGUGAAGGCAGGGACCCGGGGGUGCUGACCCCUGGCAUCACUUCUCUGGCUGGGCAGGAACCAGAGCUGGAGUGGGAGGUCUACUGGUGCCAUGUAGUUAUAACUGGGCCCUAUGCAUGACACUGGGUCUGGAACCAUAAACCCCGGAGAAGGGCUGGACUCCUUUCCUGGAGUUGCCCAGGGGUGAGAGACGCGCUGCUGUCUUCUCCCCAGGGGACAUGAAGGUCGCCUCUGUGCGACUCCGAGUCGCUGAGAGGUCGGCUCUGACUGUGUACCAAACUGCAGGUCGGACUUUCCGGCCUUCUGGGACUCUCUGGGUGGGGUCCUGGAAAAGGGACUCAAUGCUGGAGAAACCUGGAGGAGGGUAAUUUAGAAAUGUACUUGGUACCAGAACAUCUGAGUGGACCUUGUGGUCGUUUCUGCGCCCGUGCGCAUGAAGAGGAGAGUUGAUGGCGUCUGGACUAGAAGGUUUCCUCUCUGAGUUCCUGACAUCUGCACAGACCUGGACUACAUGAGUCCGCGUCACAGAUCUGACACCAUCAUCUGGGAGACGACACAGCAGCAGGAGGAAAAGGUUGACAACCCAGCAUGUACUCUGAGGUCCUCGGGCAGAGGUCUGCUGUCUGUUCCAGGGGCCCGGCGGGAAACUAAAGGGGACAGUUUGCAGUCAGGAACCCGAGGAUCUGGAGCAGCCUGCCCGUGGGGAUCAGUUUUGAAGGGGGCACUUACAGCCUGUGGAUACCCUAAAUGGACCUUUGUGAAAACAGCCAC